RNAcentral lists this ribosomal RNA (119 nucleotides) under Ricinus communis (castor bean). Lineage: Eukaryota; Viridiplantae; Streptophyta; Magnoliopsida; Malpighiales; Euphorbiaceae. The record is from RNAcentral.
GGUUGCGAUCAUACCAGCACUAGUGCACCGGAUCCCAUCAGAACUCCGAAGUUAAACGUGCUUGGGCGAGAGUAGUACUAAGAUGGGUGACCUCUUGGGAAGUCCUCGUGUUGCACCCC